CGAUAAAUGCGUGUUUUCAUGCUUUGUUUUCUGAGGUCCCUGGACAAGUUUACAUUCAGAAUAAGAAAACGGAUUCAGACCCUCUGGCUACAGUAAUAACAUCGGAAUCCAUCGAAUCUGCUCUUGAAAUCAUUCGGGACGUUGUCCUUCGCCAUCUUGAUACUGGCUCCAGCACCCAAGUCAUGUUCAUCUCCUGCAGAUACUGACUGUGUGCUUGCGGAUAAUGAUUUCAGCAUCCAGCUCAAGUUCUUCUCCUGUCGAGCCUGACUGCAUGUUUGCAGAUCCUGAUACCAGCAACUGGCGCUACAAGAGUACACUAACAUUUUAACGCUCCUCACAGAGUUGACCCGGCAUCUUCAAAAUUUGACGAAGAAAAGAGACAGGCUCGGGAACAAACUUUAGUGCGGAGCAUCUCGCUCUGUGUAAAUCUCCACCACGACUUGACUAAGAAAUGAUGAAAUACUCAUCAACGCUCGCAACACCGUUGACAGGAUCAUCAAUGUUCUCAACACCGUUGACAGGAUCAUCAAUGUUCUAAA
Molecule: non-coding RNA, 539 nt
Organism: Cherax quadricarinatus
Lineage: Eukaryota; Metazoa; Arthropoda; Malacostraca; Decapoda; Parastacidae
Source: RefSeq, a predicted model, not a curated record